RNAcentral lists this unclassified non-coding RNA (2441 nucleotides) under Limulus polyphemus (Atlantic horseshoe crab). RNAcentral's name for it is "puromycin-sensitive aminopeptidase-like, transcript variant X2". The record is from RNAcentral. Lineage: Eukaryota; Metazoa; Arthropoda; Merostomata; Xiphosura; Limulidae.
GCCAGGUGUCUAGCAAUUGUAUUCUAUUUUAGUUCCAGGUUUGAAGAUUCAGACAAGUGAAACAUGCCAGAUUCUACUUCAGUUUCCAAACCAUUUGAACGACUGCCUACAAGUGUACUUCCAGUUCACUACAAUAUCAAUUUCAGACCUGAUUUGCAGAAACUUGUGUUUGAAGGUCAUGAAACCAUUAAAGUUGAGGUAAAGAAUGAGACAUCUGUGGUGGUUUUAAAUGUUUUGGAGCUCCAAGUGAAGCUGGCUCGCUUCACUAGAGAAGAUAAAUUAGAACAAAAUGCUACAAAUAUUAAAGUAUCUCAAGAUGAUGAAAGAGUGAUACUGACCUUUGAUCAGCCUUUGACUGUUGGUAAGGGUGAAUUGUAUUUGGAGUUUUCUGGAGUUCUUAAUGAGAAGAUGAAGGGGUUUUAUCGCAGCAAAUACACAACCCCUGAAGGUGAAAUACGUCAUGCAGCAUUGACCCAGUUUGCGCCAACUGAUGCUAGACGUGCGUUUCCGUGCUGGGAUGAACCUGCUUUGAAAGCAACCUUUGAUAUUUCACUCAUAGCUGCGAAAGAUCUCGUUACUCUUUCAAACAUGAACAUUGUUAGCAGUAAACCUGUAGCCACAAAUCCUGAACUGAAAGAAGUACAGUUUGCAACCUCUCCAGUUAUGUCUACAUAUCUAGUGGCUGUAGUGGUGGGCGAGUUUGAUUAUGUGGAGAAACAGUCUGGUGAUGGAGUACAAGUGAGAGUAUACACGCCGGUUGGGAAACAGGAGCAGGGAAGAUUUGCUCUGGAAGUUGCUUGCAAAGCUGUAUCUUUCUACAAGCAGUACUUCAACAUAGCUUACCCAUUACCGAAAAUGGAUUUGAUAGCUAUAUCAGAAUUGUCUCCUGGUGCCAUGGAAAACUGGGGGUUAGUCACCUAUCGUGAAACGUGUCUUCUUGUUGACCCACAGAAUACCUCGGCAGACAGCAAACAACGGAUUGCACUCAUAGUUGGCCACGAGCUUGCUCAUCAGUGGUUUGGUAAUCUAGUAACCAUGGAAUGGUGGACUCAUCUUUGGUUGAAUGAAGGUUUUGCAUCAUUUAUUGAGUUCCUGUGUGUCAACCACCUGUUUCCUGAAUAUGAAAUUUGGACUCAGUUUGUGACUGAUGUCUAUACUCGUGCUCUGGAGCUUGAUGCUUUGCACAACAGUCAUCCAAUUGAGGUUCCUAUUGGCCGGCCAUCAGAAAUUGAUGAGAUCUUUGAUGAUAUUUCGUACAACAAGGGGGCCUCAGUCAUUAGGAUGCUACAUCAAUUUUUAGGAGAUGAGGUUUUUAGUAAAGGGAUGAACACGUACCUCACAAGACACAUGUACAAAAAUGCUCAAACUGAAGACCUGUGGCAGGCUUUAGAAGAUGUUAGUCAAAAGCCAGUUGGUGCCAUUAUGAGCUCAUGGACAAAACAGAAAGGUUUUCCCGUGAUAUCGGUGUCAUGCAGGCAAGAUGGAAAAAAUAAGAUUCUUUUUUUGAGUCAAGAAAAGUUCUGUGCUGAUGGAAAUGCUGAGGGGGAUAACCUGAGAUGGCUUGUACCCAUUAACAUUACAACAGCGAGGUCACCACAACAGAUAGUGAAGCAGGUACUACUAGAAGCUUCAUCUAUGGAAGUUCUGAUUGAGAAUGUAGAACCCAACGAGUGGGUCAAGAUAAACCCUGGAACUGUGGGUUACUAUCGCACUCUGUACACACCAGACAUUCUUGCUCAGCUUCAGCCUGCUGUUGAAGAUCAAACUCUGCCUCCAUUAGACAGACUUGGAUUGCAAAAUGAUUUUUUUGCCUUGGUUCAAGCAGGACGUGCAUCAACAACUGAAGUAUUGAAACUUAUGGAGGCUUUUAUCAGUGAAACCAGCUAUACCGUUUGGUGUUCCAUUAAUGCUUGCUUGGCCAAGUUAAACAUGCUACUAUCCCACACAGAUUUUCAUCCUCUGUUUACAACUUAUGGCCAACAGCUGCUUGCCAAAAUUCAUGCAAAACUUGGCUGGGAACCUAUAAAAGGAGAACAUCACUUGGACACUUUGUUACGGAGCUUAGUAAUUGGACGACUCGCUGCUUUUGAUGAAGAAUCUGUUGUGAAUGAAGCUAAGAAAAGAUUUGAAGCACAUGCUAAUGGAACCAGUAUUCUACCUGCAGAUUUAAGAAGUGCUGUUUACAGGGCAGCAGCGAGAAACGGUGAUGACUGAACAUUUGAAACUAUGUUGAAAGUGAGUAGUAAAUCCUGUUCAUAAACAUUAUCAAGGAUAGCAGUGAGAAACAGUGAUGACCGAACAUUUGAAACUAUGUUGUAGUUAUACAGAGAAGCAGAUUUGCACGAAGAGAAAGACCGAAUAUCAAGAGCCCUUGGAGCAGUACAGGAUGAAGCAAGUAUCAGAAGAGUUCUGGAGUUUGCUAUUUCUGUAGGUUCUUGUUC